CAUAGGUUAAUGAGGCGAACCGGGGGAACUGAAACAUCUAAGUACCCCGAGGAAAAGAAAUCAACCGAGAUUCCCCCAGUAGCGGCGAGCGAACGGGGAGGAGCCCAGAGCCUGAAUCAGUGUGUGUGUUAGUGGAAGCGUCUGGAAAGGCGCGCGAUACAGGGUGACAGCCCCGUACACAAAAAUGCACAUGCUGUGAGCUCGAUGAGUAGGGCGGGACACGUGGUAUCCUGUCUGAAUAUGGGGGGACCAUCCUCCAAGGCUAAAUACUCCUGACUGACCGAUAGUGAACCAGUACCGUGAGGGAAAGGCGAAAAGAACCCCGGCGAGGGGAGUGAAAAAGAACCUGAAACCGUGUACGUACAAGCAGUGGGAGCACGCUUAGGCGUGUGACUGCGUACCUUUUGUAUAAUGGGUCAGCGACUUAUAUUCUGUAGCAAGGUUAACCGAAUAGGGGAGCCGAAGGGAAACCGAGUCUUAACUGGGCGUUAAGUUGCAGGGUAUAGACCCGAAACCCGGUGAUCUAGCCAUGGGCAGGUUGAAGGUUGGGUAACACUAACUGGAGGACCGAACCGACUAAUGUUGAAAAAUUAGCGGAUGACUUGUGGCUGGGGGUGAAAGGCCAAUCAAACCGGGAGAUAGCUGGUUCUCCCCGAAAGCUAUUUAGGUAGCGCCUCGUGAAUUCAUCUCCGGGGGUAGAGCACUGUUUCGGCAAGGGGGUCAUCCCGACUUACCAACCCGAUGCAAACUGCGAAUACCGGAGAAUGUUAUCACGGGAGACACACGGCGGGUGCUAACGUCCGUCGUGAAGAGGGAAACAACCCAGACCGCCAGCUAAGGUCCCAAAGUCAUGGUUAAGUGGGAAACGAUGUGGGAAGGCCCAGACAGCCAGGAUGUUGGCUUAGAAGCAGCCAUCAUUUAAAGAAAGCGUAAUAGCUCACUGGUCGAGUCGGCCUGCGCGGAAGAUGUAACGGGGCUAAACCAUGCACCGAAGCUGCGGCAGCGACGCUUAUGCGUUGUUGGGUAGGGGAGCGUUCUGUAAGCCUGUGAAGGUGUGCUGUGAGGCAUGCUGGAGGUAUCAGAAGUGCGAAUGCUGACAUAAGUAACGAUAAAGCGGGUGAAAAGCCCGCUCGCCGGAAGACCAAGGGUUCCUGUCCAACGUUAAUCGGGGCAGGGUGAGUCGACCCCUAAGGCGAGGCCGAAAGGCGUAGUCGAUGGGAAACAGGUUAAUAUUCCUGUACUUGGUGUUACUGCGAAGGGGGGACGGAGAAGGCUAUGUUGGCCGGGCGACGGUUGUCCCGGUUUAAGCGUGUAGGCUGGUUUUCCAGGCAAAUCCGGAAAAUCAAGGCUGAGGCGUGAUGACGAGGCACUACGGUGCUGAAGCAACAAAUGCCCUGCUUCCAGGAAAAGCCUCUAAGCAUCAGGUAACAUCAAAUCGUACCCCAAACCGACACAGGUGGUCAGGUAGAGAAUACCAAGGCGCUUGAGAGAACUCGGGUGAAGGAACUAGGCAAAAUGGUGCCGUAACUUCGGGAGAAGGCACGCUGAUAUGUAGGUGAAGUCCCUCGCGGAUGGAGCUGAAAUCAGUCGAAGAUACCAGCUGGCUGCAACUGUUUAUUAAAAACACAGCACUGUGCAAACACGAAAGUGGACGUAUACGGUGUGACGCCUGCCCGGUGCCGGAAGGUUAAUUGAUGGGGUCAGCGCAAGCGAAGCUCUUGAUCGAAGCCCCGGUAAACGGCGGCCGUAACUAUAACGGUCCUAAGGUAGCGAAAUUCCUUGUCGGGUAAGUUCCGACCUGCACGAAUGGCGUAAUGAUGGCCAGGCUGUCUCCACCCGAGACUCAGUGAAAUUGAACUCGCUGUGAAGAUGCAGUGUACCCGCGGCAAGACGGAAAGACCCCGUGAACCUUUACUAUAGCUUGACACUGAACAUUGAGCCUUGAUG
This 1947-nucleotide ribosomal RNA is filed under the name Escherichia coli. Its description in RNAcentral is "partial 23S ribosomal RNA". It matches the Rfam family "Bacterial large subunit ribosomal RNA", at positions 165 to 2136 of the family's 2925-position model. The record is from RNAcentral. Lineage: Bacteria; Pseudomonadati; Pseudomonadota; Gammaproteobacteria; Enterobacterales; Enterobacteriaceae.